GCCGAGGUGGCGGAACAGGCAGACGCGCACGACUCAAAAUCGUGUGGGUUACCCCCGUGAGGGUUCGACUCCCUCCCUCGGCACCA
Molecule: transfer RNA, 86 nt
Filed under: Chloroflexota bacterium
Lineage: Bacteria; Bacillati; Chloroflexota
Also listed under: 1 other name
Description: Chloroflexi bacterium (groundwater metagenome) tRNA-Leu
Rfam family: tRNA
About the family: Transfer RNA (tRNA) molecules are approximately 80 nucleotides in length. Their secondary structure includes four short double-helical elements and three loops (D, anti-codon, and T loops).
Source: RNAcentral